This 529-nucleotide ribosomal RNA is filed under the name uncultured bacterium. RNAcentral's name for it is "bacterial SSU rRNA". It matches the Rfam family "Bacterial small subunit ribosomal RNA", at positions 355 to 899 of the family's 1533-position model. The record is from RNAcentral.
UGGGGAAUCUUGGACAAUGGGGGCAACCCUGAUCCAGCCAUGCCGCGUGAGUGAUGAAGGCCUUAGGGUCGUAAAGCUCUUUCGCCUGUGAAGAUAAUGACGGUAGCAGGUAAAGAAACCCCGGCUAACUCCGUGCCAGCAGCCGCGGUAAUACGGAGGGGGUUAGCGUUGUUCGGAAUUACUGGGCGUAAAGCGCACGUAGGCGGACCAGAAAGUUGGGGGUGAAAUCCCGGGGGCUCAACCCCGGAACUGCCUCCAAAACUAUUGGUCUAGAGUUCGAGAGAGGUGAGUGGAAUUCCAAGUGUAGAGGUGAAAUUCGUAGAUAUUUGGAGGAACACCAGUGGCGAAGGCGGCUCACUGGCUCGAUACUGACGCUGAGGUGCGAAAGUGUGGGGAGCAAACAGGAUUAGAUACCCUGGUAGUCCACACCGUAAAACGAUGAAUGCCAGUCGUCGGGGUAGCAUGCUAUUCGGUGACACACCUAACGGAUUAAGCAUUCCGCCUGGGGAGUACGGUCGCAAGAUUAAAA